This 453-nucleotide ribosomal RNA is filed under the name uncultured bacterium. Its description in RNAcentral is "bacterial SSU rRNA". It matches the Rfam family "Bacterial small subunit ribosomal RNA", at positions 340 to 786 of the family's 1533-position model. The record is from RNAcentral.
UACGGAAGGCAGCAGUGGGGAAUAUUGCACAAUGGGCGCAAGCCUGAUGCAGCCAUGCCGCGUGUAUGAAAAAGGCCUUCGGGUUGUAAAGUACUUUCAGUCGUGAGGAAGGUGUUAAGGUUAAUAACCUUAGCAAUUGACGUUAGCGACAGAAGAAGCACCGGCUAACUCCGUGCCAGCAGCCGCGGUAAUACGGAGGGUGCGAGCGUUAAUCGGAAUUACUGGGCGUAAAGGGCACGCAGGCGGUUAAUUAAGUUGGAUGUGAAAUCCCCGGGCUUAACCUGGGAAUGGCAUUCAAGACUGGUUAGCUAGAGUCUUGUAGAGGGGGGUAGAAUUCCAUGUGUAGCGGUGAAAUGCGUAGAGAUGUGGAGGAAUACCGGUGGCGAAGGCGGCCCCUGGACAAAGACUGACGCUCAUGUGCGAAAGCUGGGGAGCAAACAGGGAUUAGAUACC